RNAcentral lists this ribosomal RNA (846 nucleotides) under Bacillus sp. VC-CS9. RNAcentral's name for it is "bacterial SSU rRNA". It matches the Rfam family "Bacterial small subunit ribosomal RNA", at positions 62 to 888 of the family's 1533-position model. Lineage: Bacteria; Bacillati; Bacillota; Bacilli; Caryophanales; Bacillaceae. The record is from RNAcentral.
UCGAGCGGACAGAUGGGAGCUUGCUCCCUGAAUGUUAGCGGCGGACGGGUGAGUAACACGUGGGUAACCUGCCUGUAAGACUGGGAUAACUCCGGGAAACCGGGGCUAAUACCGGAUGCUUGUUUGAACCGCAUGGUUCAAACAUAAAAGGUGGCUUCGGCUACCACUUACAGAUGGACCCGCGGCGCAUUAGCUAGUUGGUGAGGUAAUGGCUCACCAAGGCAACGAUGCGUAGCCGACCUGAGAGGGUGAUCGGCCACACUGGGACUGAGACACGGCCCAGACUCCUACGGGAGGCAGCAGUAGGGAAUCUUCCGCAAUGGACGAAAGUCUGACGGAGCAACGCCGCGUGAGUGAUGAAGGUUUUCGGAUCGUAAAGCUCUGUUGUUAGGGAAGAACAAGUGCCGUUCAAAUAGGGCGGCACCUUGACGGUACCUAACCAGAAAGCCACGGCUAACUACGUGCCAGCAGCCGCGGUAAUACGUAGGUGGCAAGCGUUGUCCGGAAUUAUUGGGCGUAAAGGGCUCGCAGGCGGUUUCUUAAGUCUGAUGUGAAAGCCCCCGGCUCAACCGGGGAGGGUCAUUGGAAACUGGGGAACUUGAGUGCAGAAGAGGAGAGUGGAAUUCCACGUGUAGCGGUGAAAUGCGUAGAGAUGUGGAGGAACACCAGUGGCGAAGGCGACUCUCUGGUCUGUAACUGACGCUGAGGAGCGAAAGCGUGGGGAGCGAACAGGAUUAGAUACCCUGGUAGUCCACGCCGUAAACGAUGAGUGCUAAGUGUUAGGGGGUUUCCGCCCCUUAGUGCUGCAGCUAACGCAUUAAGCACUCCGCCUGGGGAGUACGGUCG